AGUCGAACGUGAAAGCACUUCGGUGUGAGUAGAGUGGCGGACGGGUGAGUAACGCGUGGGAAUCUACCCAGUAGUGGGGGACAACUACCGGAAACGGUAGCUAAUACCGCAUACGCCCUAUGGGGGAAAGGCUUCGGCCGCUAUUGGAUGAGCCCGCGUCAGAUUAGCUAGUUGGUAGGGUAAAGGCCUACCAAGGCAACGAUCUGUAGCUGGUCUGAGAGGACGAACAGCCACACUGGGACUGAGACACGGCCCAGACUCCUACGGGAGGCAGCAGUGGGGAAUAUUGGACAAUGGGCGAAAGCCUGAUCCAGCAAUGCCGCGUGUGUGAAGAAGGCCUGCGGGUUGUAAAGCACUUUCAGUUGGGAAGAUGAUGACGUUACCAACAGAAGAAGCACCGGCUAACUACGUGCCAGCAGCCGCGGUAAUACGUAGGGUGCAAGCGUUGUCCGGAAUUAUUGGGCGUAAAGAGCUCGUAGGCGGUUUGUCACGUCUGCUGUGAAAAUCCGAGGCUCAACCUCGGACCUGCAGUGGGUACGGGCAAACUAGAGUGCGGUAGGGGGAGAUUGGAAUUCCUGGUGUAGCGGUGGAAUGCGCAGAUAUCAGGAGGAACACCAAUGGCGAAGGCAGAUCUCUGGGCCGUAACUGACGCUGAGGAGCGAAAGCGUGGGGAGCGAACAGGAUUAGAUACCCUGGUAGAAGGGC
This 705-nucleotide ribosomal RNA is filed under the name uncultured Actinomycetes bacterium. RNAcentral describes it as "bacterial SSU rRNA". It matches the Rfam family "Bacterial small subunit ribosomal RNA", at positions 60 to 795 of the family's 1533-position model. Lineage: Bacteria; Bacillati; Actinomycetota; Actinomycetes. The record is from RNAcentral.